This 540-nucleotide ribosomal RNA is filed under the name Eimeria sp. RNAcentral's name for it is "SSU rRNA". It matches the Rfam family "Eukaryotic small subunit ribosomal RNA", at positions 461 to 994 of the family's 1831-position model. Lineage: Eukaryota; Apicomplexa; Conoidasida; Eucoccidiorida; Eimeriidae. The record is from RNAcentral.
GAGGUAGUGACGAGAAAUAACAAUACAGGGCAUUUUAUGCUCUGUAAUUGGAAUGAUGGGAAUGUAAAACCCUUUCAGAGUAACAAUUGGAGGGCAAGUCUGGUGCCAGCAGCCGCGGUAAUUCCAGCUCCAAUAGUGUAUAUUAGAGUUGUUGCAGUUAAAAAGCUCGUAGUUGGAUUUCUGUCGUGGUCAUCCGGUGUCGCCCGUAUGGGUGUGCGCCUGGUAUGACCGUGGCUUUCUUCUGGUGGCCAGCCAUCCGCGCUUAAUUGCGUGGGUUGGUGAUGUUGAGCCAGAACCUUUACUUUGAGAAAAAUAGAGUGUUUCAAGCAGGCUUGUCGCCCUGAAUACUUCAGCAUGGAAUAAUAGGAUAGGACCUCGGUUCUAUUUUGUUGGUUUCUAGGACCAAGGUAAUGAUUAAUAGGGACAGUUGGGGGCAUUCGUAUUUAACUGUCAGAGGUGAAAUUCUUAGAUUUGUUAAAGACGAACUACUGCGAAAGCAUUUGCCAAGGAUGUUUUCAUUAAUCAAGAACGACAGUAGGG